CAGUCCCGCGGGAAUACGAAGGGUGCAAGCGUUAAUCGGAAUUACUGGGCGUAAAGCGUGCGUAGGCGGUGAGUUAAGUCUGCUGUGAAAUCCCCGGGCUCAACCUGGGAAUGGCAGUGGAUACUGGCUCGCUAGAGUGUGUCAGAGGAUGGUGGAAUUCCCGGUGUAGCGGUGAAAUGCGUAGAGAUCGGGAGGAACAUCAGUGGCGAAGGCGGCCAUCUGGGACAACACUGACGCUGAGGCACGAAAGCGUGGGGAGCAAACAGGAUUAGAUACCCCGGUAGUCCCUGUCUCUUAUACA
This 301-nucleotide ribosomal RNA is filed under the name uncultured bacterium. RNAcentral describes it as "partial 16S ribosomal RNA". It matches the Rfam family "Bacterial small subunit ribosomal RNA", at positions 512 to 808 of the family's 1533-position model. The record is from RNAcentral.